RNAcentral lists this long non-coding RNA (878 nucleotides) under Fukomys damarensis (Damara mole-rat). RNAcentral's name for it is "lncRNA (ENSFDAG00000030371.1)". The record is from RNAcentral. Lineage: Eukaryota; Metazoa; Chordata; Mammalia; Rodentia; Bathyergidae.
GGAGCCAGUUGGGAUCUGUCCAGCCUCUGUCUCUUCCCCAAGCUGCCUCUGUUCUGCUGGCCCCUCGCUUGGGGCAAGGCCACUGUGUAGCAGGUGCCCAUGCGCACCACUGCCUACCUACUCUGUCGGCCCCUUUCAGGGUCUGGGCAGAGGAGGGAAAGAGCAGAGAGCAGCCGGGGCCACACAGCCCCCCAGAGAGGCACAUGUGAUGGAGAGGAGAGCCAGGAUUCAUCACUGGUGCCCUCCAGGAGGCCAAGCAGCAUGUGAUGCCUCAGGUUUGGAUUCACUUCUUCAUUCAGCUGGGAGAGCACAGAGGAUUUCCAACCUUCUCCUCUGGGUUCUGAAGGCUGGCCAAAUCCCCAGGCCCUGGCGGAGCCUUGCACCCCAGGAAAGGUCCCCUCCACCCACCUACUUCCCAAGGAUGGCCAUCGCCCUCCAAGUUCCAUCUCACAUUAGGAAACAACCUGAAAAACUCUCCUGUGAGGUUUGGUGAGAAACAGAAAGGAAUCCGCUGGUGAAGUCACAGUGGGCUCUUAAUCAGGGUGGACCCAUGAUUGUGCCAGAAUCUUCCUUACUCCCUACCCUCCCUUUGAGCCAAGAUGGCAGAAACCAUCACCUGCUACAGUGGCCCAGGGAGGUCCCACGAAUCCCCACAUCCCAUAUCCACCCAGGGACCAGUCUGCCAGGCCCCUGUGGCUCUGUGCUCUCCUUGUGAUGCAGCCCAGCUCCUGCUCACUCUGCCGGCUCCCUUGUCUUAGACUCUGGCUCCUUGCUCAUCCGUUCCCAUCAUGCCUCACACAGGGGAGCUGUCUCACCCUCCGCCUCCCCCAUCCCCCCCGCAUGGACCUGGCAGCUCCUGCUUAUGCAGGAGACUCAGU